This 509-nucleotide ribosomal RNA is filed under the name uncultured bacterium. RNAcentral's name for it is "bacterial SSU rRNA". It matches the Rfam family "Bacterial small subunit ribosomal RNA", at positions 19 to 518 of the family's 1533-position model. The record is from RNAcentral.
CUGGCUCAGGAUGAACGCUAGCGAUAGGCCUAACACAUGCAAGUCGAGGGGCAGCACAUGAGUAGCAAUACGAUGGUGGCGACCGGCGCACGGGUGAGUAACACGUAUGCAACCUACCUUUAACAGGGGAAUAACCCGUUGAAAAACGGACUAAUACUCCAUAACACAGGGGUCCCGCAUGGGAAUAUUUGUUAAAGAUUAAUCGGUUGAAGAUGGGCAUGCGUUCCAUUAGCUUGUUGGUGAGGUAACGGCUCACCAAGGCCACGAUGGAUAGGGGAACUGAGAGGUUUAUCCCCCACACUGGAACUGAGACACGGUCCAGACUCCUACGGGAGGCAGCAGUGAGGAAUAUUGGUCAAUGGAGGCAACUCUGAACCAGCCAAGUCGCGUGAAGGAAUGAAGGUCUUAUGGAUUGUAAACUUCUUUUGCAAGGGAAUAAAGUGGGGGACGUGUCCUCCUUUGCAUGUACCUUGCGAAUAAGGAUCGGCUAACUCCGUGCCAGCAGCUGC